AUAAAGCAAAACAAAGUAAAAGAAGAUAGGAGAAGGAAGGACACUUGGAGAGGACACAUUUUUCCUAGUCUUCACACAAACAUGUGUCAUCGUCAUGUGUGUGAGGAACAAGCACCGAUUCUCCAACGUUCCUUUAACGUCCUCUCUCUUCAUAUAUAAUAUUACAUUAACAGAUAAGUACAAGGUACUGAAUAAUAAAAAGAACUGGAAGAACAACAGGCCAGAUAGGUGUGAAAAUGCAGGGAAGAAUACUACUUUGUGAUUGGUGGUCUAGAGUUAGACGGCAUCACCAACUCCGCCUCAUGGUAUCUAAACCGCCCAAUCGUUCAGCCGUUCAUGGUGCUAGGCUACCUGUUCUUCACCAUCUCAAUAAGGAAGAAGUGGAGAAGGAGAUCAGUAAAGGAAAGGAAGAAAAACAGAACAGAAGGAAUGAGGUGGAGAAGGCUGUGGACUCCCAACUCAACCAAUCUAAGUUCACUUACUACACACCUCUCGACUGAGCCCAGAUAUAAUGACAGGCUCAACUGUCAAUAUGUUGUAUUCAGCUUUAUAUAUACAUAAAUAUAUAUAUACUUGUACCAAAUGCAAAUGACAGAUAAGAGAGCAGAAAGGAACUCUAAUUAUGGUAAUGAGAGUAGUUACAUAAAUCGACAUAAAUUCAAGCUCAACAUGAGCCAACCUUGUACAUUAAGGCAGCAGAGCUCUUUAAUAGAGUUCACAUAUGUGGUCAAGACAUAUGUAACAUAGUAAUUUCAAAAAUCUUACAUGGGAUGAUGCUAUGAUUUUCACUUAAAAACUAAUUAUCUUCUUAUACUAAGAUGCACCUUCUGCUACUUCAACCAGCCUCCCGCGUAUCCAUCUUUUAGUAACGGUAACUGAAUUGGCCGCGGGCGUUUGCUCAUCCUGAGUUUCAGCCGCAGGCGUUUGCUCAUCCUGAGUUUCAGCUUUUGCUCCGUUUACUAGAGGUUUCUCUUUCUGUUCACUGUCUGUGCUUGGUUCCAAAUGGCCAUUUUCAUUUAUAAGAUCCGAUUGCUUCAUUAGAGUCUCAUAACUAAACGGAGAUAAACCAUAGGCGCUGGAGUUUAAUUGAAGAUGUCCCUCUUCACCAUUCAGUAUCUCAUGCAUAUUUAAAUUUCCAAAACUCAAGUCUUCUUCUUUGCUUGAUACUAAGGUUCGAGUUCCAUUCACUUUUUUUCCAUCUGCUUCUACUGGAACAUUGCCUACACCCUCUGUUCCAUUCUCAACCUGGCUGCCUAGUUCAUCUCCUACAAUAGAUGGGUUCUCACCAUUCACCUGGGAUGAGCUUUGGUCUACUUCAAUAGAUUCCAGUGAUCGAAUUGCUUCAGCUAUGAGCUUCCUAGUCUCCAAGAGAGAUGCUUGAGCAAUAGGGCUUUUUGUAGCUGCAACCUCAAGGGCCUUGGCAGCCUUUUCAGCUUCAGCAAUCAAUAAUCU
Molecule: long non-coding RNA, 1452 nt
Organism: Cannabis sativa
Lineage: Eukaryota; Viridiplantae; Streptophyta; Magnoliopsida; Rosales; Cannabaceae
Exons: 2
Source: RefSeq, a predicted model, not a curated record